UACGUAGGGGGCGAGCGUUGUCCGGAGUUACUGGGCGUAAAGCGCUUGUAGGCGGUCCAUCAAGUUUGGGGUGACAGUUGCCGACUUAAUCGGCAAAGUGCCUCAAAGACUGGCGGACUUGAGGGCCACAGAGGGACAUGGAACUCCAGGUGUAGUGGUGAAAUGCGUAGAUAUCUGGAAGAACACCAAAGGCGAAGGCAGUGUCCUGGGUGGUCGCUGACGCUGAGAGGCGAAAGCCAGGGGAGCGAACGGG
RNAcentral lists this ribosomal RNA (253 nucleotides) under uncultured bacterium. Its description in RNAcentral is "partial 16S ribosomal RNA". It matches the Rfam family "Bacterial small subunit ribosomal RNA", at positions 524 to 776 of the family's 1533-position model. The record is from RNAcentral.